CGGACGAUGAACCGCUUUCGGGCGGGGAUUAGUGGCGAACGGGUGAGUAACACGUGGGCAAUCUGCCCUGCACUCUGGGACAAGCCCUGGAAACGGGGUCUAAUACCGGAUAUGACUGUCCAUCGCAUGGUGGAUGGUGUAAAGCUCCGGCGGUGCAGGAUGAGCCCGCGGCCUAUCAGCUUGUUGGUGAGGUAGUGGCUCACCAAGGCGACGACGGGUAGCCGGCCUGAGAGGGCGACCGGCCACACUGGGACUGAGACACGGCCCAGACUCCUACGGGAGGCAGCAGUGGGGAAUAUUGCACAAUGGGCGAAAGCCUGAUGCAGCGACGCCGCGUGAGGGAUGACGGCCUUCGGGUUGUAAACCUCUUUCAGCAGGGAAGAAGCGAAAGUGACGGUACCUGCAGAAGAAGCGCCGGCUAACUACGUGCCAGCAGCCGCGGUAAUACGUAGGGCGCAAGCGUUGUCCGGAAUUAUUGGGCGUAAAGAGCUCGUAGGCGGCUUGUCACGUCGGUUGUGAAAGCCCGGGGCUUAACCCCGGGUCUGCAGUCGAUACGGGCAGGCUAGAGUUCGGUAGGGGAGAUCGGAAUUCCUGGUGUAGCGGUGAAAUGCGCAGAUAUCAGGAGGAACACCGGUGGCGAAGGCGGAUCUCUGGGCCGAUACUGACGCUGAGGAGCGAAAGCGUGGGGAGCGAACAGGAUUAGAUACCCUGGUAGUCCACGCCGUAAACGGUGGGCACUAGGUGUGGGCAACAUUCCACGUUGUCCGUGCCGCAGCUAACGCAUUAAGUGCCCCGCCUG
Molecule: ribosomal RNA, 799 nt
Filed under: Streptomyces sp. Sm1(2014)
Lineage: Bacteria; Bacillati; Actinomycetota; Actinomycetes; Kitasatosporales; Streptomycetaceae
Description: bacterial SSU rRNA
Rfam family: Bacterial small subunit ribosomal RNA
Source: RNAcentral